Molecule: ribosomal RNA, 846 nt
Filed under: uncultured Lentisphaerota bacterium
Lineage: Bacteria; Pseudomonadati; Lentisphaerota
Description: bacterial SSU rRNA
Rfam family: Bacterial small subunit ribosomal RNA
Source: RNAcentral
GGAUUAGGCAUGCAAGUCGAACGCUCAUCUUCGGAUGGGAGUGGCGGAAGGGUGAGGAACACGUGAAUAAUCUGCCCCCAAGUUUGGAAUAACUUUCCGAAAGGAAAGCUAAUACCGAAUGUGGUUGAUUUACCGCAUGGUGAAUCAACUAAAGAUUUAUUGCUUGGGGAUGAGUUCGCGUCCCAUUAGCUAGUUGGUGAGGUAACGGCUCACCAAGGCCGAGAUGGGUAGCUGGUCUGAGAGGAUGAUCAGCCACACUGGGACUGAGACACUGCCCAGACUCCUACGGGAGGCUGCAGUCGAGAAUCUUCCGCAAUGGGCGCAAGCCUGACGGAGCAAUGCCGCAUGAGGGAUGACGGCCUUCGGGUUGUAAACCUCUGUCAUCCGGGACGAAACCAAUGACGGUACCGGAAAAGGAAGCUACGGCUAACCACGUGCCAGCAGCCGCGGUAACACGUGGGUGGCGAGCGUUAUUCGGAUUUACUGGGCGUAAAGGGUCCGCAGGGGGCCUGCCACGCCCGCCGUGAAAUUUCAGGGCUCAACCCUGAACCUGCGGCGGGUACGGGCGGGCUGGAGUGCAGGAAGGGCAGACGGAAUUCCAGGUGUAGCGGUGGAAUGCGUAGAUAUCUGGAGGAACACCGAUGGCGAAGGCGGUCUGCUGGCACAUGACUGACCCUCAGGGACGAAAGCGUGGGUAGCAAACAGGAUUAGAUACCCUGGUAGUCCACGCCGUAAACUUUGUGAACUAGAUGUGCCCGGGCUGGCCCCGGGCGUGUCCAAGCUAACGCGAUAAGUUCACCGCCUGGGGACUACGGCCGCAAGGCUAAAACUCAAAGGAAUUGACGG